GGCUUUUCUGAACAUUUAAUGGGAAGCCUCUUCCAAGAGAAACACCCUCAAAAACGUUCAGGAUCCCGCAUGGCAUCGAAAAGCCAGACAGGAGUGCCGACGCACGCAGGUGGUGGGUUCUGCCCACCGACUCCGGCAGAAAGACCUCCCGCCUGGUUCUCCAAGUGAUCAACUCUAUUUGCAUGCGUGGUGCAGACAUUUUGCCGGGUACCGGGGUUCCCAGGCCUCCGAUUGUAAAGGAUUGUGAGGCCACCCCUCUCCUCGUUCACAUGGAGAGCGCCUAAGAGGAUUUAGAAUCAAGUGGGCACAUUUGCACGGCCUUGUUCUGAAGAGGCAGCUGGAGCGCGGGCGGCCCGCCCGGAGCAGCCCACCGCGGGUCCCGGGGGACUGCAUUGUCCUCCGAGGGGCCGCCGCGGGGGCUCCAUUGUGCGCGGAGCAGGCCUUUUUCUCCUGCCCUCUGUCUCCCCCGGGCCUGCCCACCCCUCCCACCCCGCAGACUUUUCUCUCAAGCUGCCCGAUCCCCCUGCUGCCGCAUUUCCAAUGCAGAGAGGCCGGCAGGGCUUCGGGCCGGCCAUCUGCACGCGGAGAUUGACAGCCGCCCCGAAGGGACCUGCCACAUUGGUACAGUUUUCACAGGUGCAGUGGUCGGGGGCAUGCCGGGGCGUCACAUCCAAAGGAAAAGACAAGUUUUGCAUCUUGCACCUCCCAUCACAAAGACAGAAGCGCAGAACAUGCUGAGGGCAUUUGAGUUCUGCAAACAGCAUAUCCCCUACCUGGGAAUACUGCUUCAACCAGAGCACCAUUCUAAGUUUAACAGCUUUGAGAAAGGACCAGGAAAAAGGCAGGGCUCUGCAUCAGGCCUGGGAUGCCGUGCAAGCAGCCCUACCACUUGGCCCGUGUGAGCCAAGAGGCCGUUCGGCAUUAGAGGUAUGGGUGGUGGGAAAAGAUGCCAUGUAGAGUUUUUGGCAAAUCCCAAUGGGAAAAGCACAAUGCAGACAGCCAGGAUCCCGGGGCGAGGCUAUGCCGUCUGCAUCUACAAUGUUUUAACAAUAGCUCUGGUGUGCUGUAGAGACCUAAUGAAGACAGAGCACCUAACCAUGGGACACCAACUGACCGUGUGACCAAAGCGGCCCAUCAUGACUGGGUUCUGUCAGAACCAGCACAUCACACCACGGGAUGGGCCAAGGAGCAAUGCAUCAUAGGACUGGAUUAGCACCUCUGGGAUUAAGCACAAGCAGGACCAGAGGACACACUCAAGCUGCACCAGCGCUCCACAUCACCGGCUGUUACUGCACCAGCACCUCCCCCUCAGCUCACACCUAUGGCCACACGGAGGAUCCUUGUGACCAGCUGAUUGAACAUGAAGGAGCUCAAGCUUGCUUCAUGGAUGGGCUGGUGUGCAUGUGGGUGCAAGCUGAAAAUGGACAGUGACUGCAUUACAGCCCUGUUCAAGGGUGGUCUUGAAAAACAAUGGUGAGGGAAAGCUUCAGGUGGUGUCCCUGGUCAUCCACUUGGUGUUCAAAGAGAAGUGGCCUAAGAUUGCACUCACAGGCAGUAUCAAAUGGCUUCACUGAAUGGGCAGGGGCCUAGAAGGAAAAAAACUGGCAGAUUGGCAACAAGAAAUUCUGGAGUAGACACGUGCAUGGACCUGUGAGAGGGCGCACACUGUGAAGAUCUUUGUGUCACAUGUUAGCAGCCACAAGAGGGAGGCACAAAGAAUACACGUAGAUAAAAUGACUAACCAGUUGAUGGCAACCAGCCUCUGUCAUCAGCCACUGCAGCGUUGGGACUACAGGCACAUGAAGGGAAGAGCCAUGGAGGCGAAUAUGGAGGCUAUGCAUGGGUCCACGAGCAUGGGCUCCCGCUUACCAAAGCUUUUCCAGCUGCUGCUACUGCCAAGUCGCUAACAUUCCAGCAGAGAGAGUGAUACUGAGUCCCCGGUAUAGCACCAUCCCUCAAGGAGACCAACCAGACACUCUGCAAACAGACUUCAUUGGACAUCUUCCACCUUGAAGAAACAGUAGUUCAUUUUAAGAUGCAUGGACACAUAUUCUGGAUUUGGCUUUCAUUUCUUGUCUGUAGGGCCUUGGCUAGCACCAUUAUCCAAGGGCUUUACAUAGUGUUAAAUGCACUGUCAUGGGAUCCCAUAUAACAUCACGUCAGACCAAGGAAUACACUUGUUCAGCAAAGGAGUUGUUGGAAUGUGCACGUGACCAUGGACUCCACUGGUUCCAUCUCAUGCUAAACCACCCAGAAGCUGCUAGACAGACAGAGCAUGGCCUAGAUGGACCUGUUGAAAGCUUAGCUGAUACACUAGCUCAAAGGUGAUACUUUGUGAGGCUGGACCACCGUUCUCCAGGAGGCAGGGUACACCUUAAAUCAAACACUUUUAUAUGGCGCUGUGUUCACAAUGAGUAGAAUACGUAAGUCUAGGAAGCAGGAAUUAGAAACAGGAGCGAUCCCGCCACCCAUCACUCCCAGUCACCUACUUGAAGAAUUUUACCUUCCUAUCCUCACAACACUGAGUUCUGUGGGUUUUGAGGUCCCAGCUUCUAGAGGGGGAGUGCUUCUGACAGGGGACACAGCCACACCCCCACUGAACUAUAAGCAUGGCUGAUCCUUGGGCACUUCUAGCUCCUUGCACCAAGGGGCCAACAGGCAAGCAGAGGAGUUGCUGUCUUGAAAGGGAUAACAACCUGAUCGUCAGGAACAGAGAGGGCUCUCAUUCUACACAGCGAAGGGAGGAAUAUGUGUAGAAUCUAGACGGUCUACUUAGGCACCUGUUGGUCCUCCCUUCUCCAACUUUGGAAGAAAAAUAGACUACAGCCUGAGAGGGACAUAAUGGCCAGGGGCUCCGAUCUCUCAGGCAUGAGGGUCUAGUCUCACCACCAGGAAACCCACCGAGAUCAGCAGAGCUGCAGGUUGAGAGUGAGGGAAAUCUUCAGUGGAUAACAGAGGAGGGAGAAGAUGAGUAUCCGUUGUCACCCUGAAACCAGCUGUAGCUUCAGGAUUUACGAUUUGCCCCACUACCCUUCCUCUCGUAAGUCCCCACUAGGAACAGAGGCUCACUGGUAUCUUGGAGGACCUUUUCUCGGAAACUAUAAGAAGAAGAGGAUCCAAGUGUUGCAAGGGGUGGACUGUAGUGGCUUCUUUGCUAAAUCGUCCAGAUUCCUACUCAGGAGGAUUCCUAUUCAGGAAUGAAGGUCUUACUGCCCAGCUGCUGGGAGUGCUGACAGAAGACGGCCCUCAGCUCUCAGCCUGUGGAGUUUGCUUUAUCUAAAGAAAACUGCCUGGUGCCCUGAAGAUCACACCUCCUUCCAGGGACAACUUGCACUGAAUUACGCUCUUGCCCUGAUUUAGGACACCUCUAAAAAGGCUACCCCUGCUCCAGUGCUCCAUAUGGGGUGGCUGAUGACUGCAUCAUAUCCCAGCUUCUCCCUCUGUCUAAUCCUGCGUUUCCCCUCUCCCUUCACAAGUAAUGAUCCCAAUAAAUGAGAUCACUGAACGACUUCACUGGGAACAUGGCCUACAACAGCCAGUAAAACUUGGGUUGUUACCAGAUGAGAUAAUUUUUAUUCAUAGGCUGGUGAGGUCUAUGAAUAAAAAAUGUUGGUUAUAAAAAGUAGUCAAUUUUCUUAAUACCAAACUAUAAUUAUGAGCCUCUUGCUAGUUGUCAGUUGAUUUUGAUCAAAUAUAUGUAGCAAAGUGAACACUUUUUGAGAAUUCCUAAAUACAUUCAGUCUGGGCACAUCUCACUUCAGAUGCCAGAUUCCCAACCCUGAUUUCAAUUCUAGAUUUGAAUUUUAGCCAUUUCGUAAAAGAGAAUGAAUUUUCACAGAGCUAGUAGAGGCCAGUGUUCCUCAGAGUUUUGAUACAUGGUCAGAAACUUCAGGAGAAUUUGUGGAUUCAUAUAUUCAUUUCCAGAAUCCUAAGGUUUUGUGCCUUCUUUGCAUGCAUAGCUUGUUUUCCAGCCCAAUCAGUUCUUGAAACUGAACCAUACUGAUAAAGCAGAUGUUUAAUAAUUCAGAUAUAUGCUGAGGUUUGCAUUCCAAGGCCAAUUGUAGAAACUUAAAAACAUGUCUCAUUUUUAUCAGACUUUAUGAAUCUUGUCUUGAAUUAUGACUUCAAAUCCACCCCAUAGCAGCUGUAUAAACUCCGUGGCAGUUUGGGAGGGGCUCGGGACAGAUCAGGAAAGUGGAGUCGGUGUGUUCCAGCUGCCAUCUGUCUGCUCACGUGCCCACUUCCAUCUGAGUGCCUGGACAAAUCAGCAAAGUGGGUUUUUCUUCCUUGCCACUUCAAGUUCAGGGCUUGUCUCAUCAGCAAGAAAGUUCCAUCUUGGGAGCCUUUGGGAAAAGAACAAGCUGUUUCCUCUGAGAUCUUUCAUGACCGAAAGUUACUGACCUGAGGAUGUAGUUCAGAGCGCCUCCUCGACGAGUUUGCACAAUCUUGCACUCUACUGCACUGACAGGGAGGUCUCCGCGCUCGACUGCGCGUGCCUCUGUAGAGCCGAUGUACCGAGUAUCAUUAAGGGGACAAGUAUAAAGAUAUGCACACACAAUCGUUUCAUGGUGCUCAUCAUAUAGUGAGCCCGAGUGG
Molecule: long non-coding RNA, 4596 nt
Filed under: Equus caballus (horse)
Lineage: Eukaryota; Metazoa; Chordata; Mammalia; Perissodactyla; Equidae
Description: lncRNA (ENSECAG00000047925.1)
Source: RNAcentral